This 253-nucleotide ribosomal RNA is filed under the name uncultured bacterium. RNAcentral's name for it is "partial 16S ribosomal RNA". It matches the Rfam family "Bacterial small subunit ribosomal RNA", at positions 524 to 776 of the family's 1533-position model. The record is from RNAcentral.
UACGAGGGGCGCAAGUGUUGUUCGGAAUCACUGGGCGUAAAGGGAGCGUAGGCGGGCUUUUAAGUUAGGUGUUUAAUCCCGGGGCCCAACCCCGGACCGGCACCUAAAACUGGGAGUCUUGAAUAGUGGAGAGGUCAGUGGAAUUGGGGGUGUAGCGGUGGAAUGCGUAGAUAUUGGGAGGAACACCAGUGGCGAAGGCGGCUACCUGGACCGGUUCUGACGCUGAUGCGCGAAAGCGUGGGUAGCAAACAGG